RNAcentral lists this transfer RNA (112 nucleotides) under Nitrososphaerales archaeon. RNAcentral describes it as "tRNA-OTHER". It matches the Rfam family "tRNA". Rfam says of the family: Transfer RNA (tRNA) molecules are approximately 80 nucleotides in length. Their secondary structure includes four short double-helical elements and three loops (D, anti-codon, and T loops). The record is from RNAcentral. Lineage: Archaea; Thermoproteati; Nitrososphaerota; Nitrososphaeria; Nitrososphaerales.
GCCGGGGUAGCUCAGCCUGGUUAGAGCGCCAGGCAGAGUUGGGCGUGACUCAUAAUCUGGAGAUCCACAAAGUGAACAGAGGGCGUGGGUUCGAAACCCAUCCCCGGCACCA